UGAGGAAUAUUGGACAAUGGGCGCAAGCCUGAUCCAGCCAUGCCGCGUGAGUGACGAAGGCCUUAGGGUUGUAAAGCUCUUUUGUGCGGGAAGAUAAUGACGGUACCGCAAGAAUAAGCCCCGGCUAACUUCGUGCCAGCAGCCGCGGUAAUACGAAGGGGGCUAGCGUUGCUCGGAAUCACUGGGCGUAAAGGGUGCGUAGGCGGGUCUUUAAGUCAGAGGUGAAAUCCUGGAGCUCAACUCCAGAACUGCCUUUGAUACUGAGGAUCUUGAGUUCGGGAGAGGUGAGUGGAACUGCGAGUGUAGAGGUGAAAUUCGUAGAUAUUCGCAAGAACACCAGUGGCGAAGGCGGCUCACUGGCCCGAUACUGACGCUGAGGCGCGAAAGCCAGGGGAGCAAACGGGAUUAGAUACCCCGGUAGUCCCUGAGCGGGCUGGCAAGGCGCAU
RNAcentral lists this ribosomal RNA (447 nucleotides) under uncultured bacterium. Its description in RNAcentral is "bacterial SSU rRNA". It matches the Rfam family "Bacterial small subunit ribosomal RNA", at positions 355 to 825 of the family's 1533-position model. The record is from RNAcentral.